This 1240-nucleotide ribosomal RNA is filed under the name metagenome. Its description in RNAcentral is "bacterial LSU rRNA". It matches the Rfam family "Bacterial large subunit ribosomal RNA", at positions 1564 to 2814 of the family's 2925-position model. The record is from RNAcentral.
UGAAUACGAGAUGCUACGGCGUCGAAGCAGUCUAUGUCAUACUUCCAAGAAAAGCUCGCACUGUCAUAAACAAAUAAUGCCUGUACCAUAACCGACACAGGUGGGUAGGUAGAGUAUACUAAGGGGCGCGAGAUAACUCUCUCUAAGGAACUCGGCAAAAUGACUCCGUAACUUCGGGAGAAGGAGUGCCUUAUUUAUAAGGUUGCAAUAACAAGAUCCAAGCAACUGUUUAUCAAAAACACAGGUCUCCGCUAAGUCGUAAGACGAUGUAUGGGGGCUGACGCCUGCCCAGUGCCAGAAGGUUAAAGAAGUUGGUUAGCAUUCGCGAAGCUGAUAACUGAAGCCCUGGUGAACGGCGGCCGUAACUAUAACGGUCCUAAGGUAGCGAAAUUCCUUGUCGGGUAAGUUCCGACCCGCACGAAAGGCGUAAUGAUUUGGAUACUGUCUCGGAGAGGGGCUCGGUGAAAUAGACUUGUCUGUGAAGAUGCGGACUACCUGCACCAGGACAGAAAGACCCUAUGAAGCUUUACUGUAACUUGAGAUUGAAAUUGGACUUUACUUGCGCAGUAUAGGUGGGAGGCGUUGAUAAUAUUCUUGCGGGAUUAUUUGAGCCAUCAGUGAGAUACCACUCUUGUAAUGUUAGAUUUCUAACUUUGUAUCAUUAUCUGGUCAAAGGACAGUUUCAGGCGGGCAGUUUGACUGGGGCGGUCGCCUCCUAAACGGUAACGGAGGCGCACAAAGGUUUCCUCUGAACGGGUAGAGGUCGUAUCUAGAGUGUAAAGGCAUAAGGAAGCUUGACUGUGAGACCUACAAGUCGAGCAGGGACGAAAGUCGGUCUUAGUGAUCUGACGGUGCUGAGUGGAAAGGCCGUCACUCAACGGAUAAAAGUUACUCUAGGAUAACAGGCUGAUCUCCCCCAAGAGUUCACAUCGACGGGGAGGUUUGGCACCUCGAUGUCGGCUCAUCGCAUCCUGGGGCGGUAGUACGUCCCAAGGGUUGGGCUGUUCGCCCAUGAAAGCGGUACGCGAGCUGGGUUCAGAACGUCGUGAGACAGUUCGGUCCAUAUCCGGUGUAGGCGUUAGAAUAUUGAGAGGAGCCUUCUUUAGUACGAGAGGACCGAGAAGGACAUACCUCUGGUGUACCAGUUAUCGUGCCAACGGUAAACGCUGGGUAGCUAUGUAUGGAGUGGAUAACCGCUGAAAGCAUCUAAGUGGGAAGCCCACCUCAAGAUAAGUAUUCC